CCUGGAUCUCUUGGACUGAGGGCCAUCAGCUCAUUCAGCCAAAAACCAGGUUUUGUUCUGUGUGCUUGGAGAAAUUUGGCUGAGACACAUGCAGGUAAGCUCUGGUUCUUCGAGCAGCUUGGAGCAGAGUUGCUUCUCCUCCUUCCUUACCUCCCCACCUUGCAGGUAACGUCCCGGGAGCCCCCAACAGCCUCCCUUGCUCAUCCACCUCAGAGGGCUGUGAUCUCCACAGGCUUCCUCUCAGGGGACCCAGAACUACUCAGGAAAUUGUAGGUUGGGUCCUAUGCUCCUUCAUGGUCUGCCACAGCUGAGAUCCUGGAGUACAUCGUCCUAUCCGUCUCUGCCCAGAGGGAUCCUUCUUGUGUACACAGAGUGAGCUGGGUGGUGAGCACGAAUGACAUGGGGAUCUGCCUCAGAUACACACUCGUGACCUCAACCGAAAUGGUAAUGUAGACACACACAUGGUCCUGCAUAGUUUCCACUUGCCUCCAGCUGCAGAGUUGGUAAGCUGACUAUUUAAUCAUUAGUGUCAUGUUGUAUUGGUACAAUCGCUGUGCUAUCAGCAGCUGUAAUGCUCUAAGGACGUAAGUAGAGCAAGUUCAGCAAAGACAAUAUUUUUUAUUAGAUCAGCUGAUAUAGCUGAAAGAAAAGCAGACAAGAUUUUUAUUCCCCAUGGGAGACUCUUGGAUGUGAAAUAGAGGUCUUCUGUUUCCAGCAGGAUCGUCAAUGUGCUUCCUUAAGUUAGAGGUCCUAGAGGUGGGUGGGUAAGUGAAAAUAGCUAAAAA
RNAcentral lists this long non-coding RNA (785 nucleotides) under Anser brachyrhynchus (Pink-footed goose). RNAcentral describes it as "lncRNA (ENSABRG00000015545.1)". Lineage: Eukaryota; Metazoa; Chordata; Aves; Anseriformes; Anatidae. The record is from RNAcentral.